UGUAUACAUAAAUAACUUGUUUUGGCUGUUAAGCGUAUCUUUAGGCACGUAAAAAGUAAGUAAAUCGCUCUAGAAAUCUGAAGAAUGCUUACUCGGCAAACCCAUCAGUUUGGGUUUGGAGAAGAAAUUUCAACGAAAACGUCUUGUGAGAACUUGAAGACAUGAGUAGACGAAAGUGCCUGGCAAAUCCCACUGAUGUGCUUUGUGCGUCUGAACAGCCAGCCUGCCACCCUGCCCAGCCCUCACCCAAAAACAUCACAAGAUGAAGG
This is a long non-coding RNA of Engraulis encrasicolus (European anchovy), 269 nucleotides long. RefSeq lists it as uncharacterized. The transcript has 3 exons. Lineage: Eukaryota; Metazoa; Chordata; Actinopteri; Clupeiformes; Engraulidae. The record is from RefSeq and is a predicted model, not a curated record.